Pan troglodytes (chimpanzee) is the source of this 3942-nucleotide RNA transcript. It is a transcript of the gene named WD repeat and coiled coil containing, with no coding region annotated. The transcript has 4 exons. Lineage: Eukaryota; Metazoa; Chordata; Mammalia; Primates; Hominidae. The record is from RefSeq and is a predicted model, not a curated record.
ACCUAUCAGAGGACUGAGGCCGGUGCUUCCGGUGGCUGCCCAGAACUUCUUAUCUGCGGCGGCGUGAUGUUGGGCGGCCACCGAGAGACUGGUGUUUUUGUGAGGCAGUGAGACCUAAGGUAACCUUUAUCAAAAGGAUGGAGUUGGGAAAAGGAAAACUACUCAGGACUGGACUGAAUGCGUUGCAUCAAGCAGUGCAUCCGAUCCAUGGCCUUGCCUGGACCGAUGGGAAUCAAGUUGUCCUAACUGAUUUGCGGCUUCACAGUGGAGAGGUCAAGUUUGGGGACUCCAAAGUCAUUGGACAAUUUGAAUGUGUCUGUGGGUUGUCCUGGGCCCCACCUGUUGCAGAUGAUACACCUGUUCUACUCGCUGUCCAGCAUGAGAAGCAUGUCACUGUGUGGCAGCUGUGUCCCAGCCCUAUGGAGUCAAGCAAAUGGCUGACGUCUCAGACUUGUGAGAUUAGAGGAUCACUACCUAUCCUUCCCCAGGGCUGUGUGUGGCACCCAAAAUGUGCUAUUCUGACUGUGUUGACUGCUCAGGAUGUCUCCAUUUUCCCUAAUGUUCACUCUGAUGAUUCCCAGGUAAAGGCAGACAUCAACACCCAGGGCCGCAUUCACUGUGCAUGUUGGACCCAGGAUGGCCUGAGGCUGGUGGUGGCAGUAGGCAGCAGCCUGCAUUCUUAUAUUUGGGACAGUGCUCAGAAGACUCUUCACAGGUGCUCCUCCUGCCUGGUGUUUGAUGUGGACAGCCACGUCUGCUCCAUCACAGCAACUGUGGACUCACAGGUUGCUAUAGCUACUGAGCUUCCAUUGGAUAGGAUCUGUGGCUUAAAUGCAUCUGAAACCUUUAAUAUCCCACCUAACAGUAAAGACAUGACUCCGUAUGCUUUACCAGUUAUUGGUGAAGUACCCUCUAUGGAUAAAGAGGCAACUGAUUCUGAAACAAAUUCUGAAGUAUCAGUUUCUUCUUCCUAUUUAGAACCUCUGGAUCUAACUCACAUACAUUUCAAUCAACAUAAGUCUGAGGGUAAUUCUCUUAUUUGUCUAAGAAAAAAGGACUACUUGACAGGAACUGGCCAAGAUUCUUCACAUUUGGUCCUUGUGACCUUUAAGAAGGCAGUUACCAUGACAAGAAAAGUCACUAUUCCAGGCAUUCUGGUUCCUGAUCUGAUAGCAUUUAAUCCUAAAGCCCACAUAGUGGCAGUGGCUUCCAACACUUGUAAUAUAAUUUUGAUCUACUCUGUCAUUCCAUCUUCAGUCCCAAACAUCCAGCAAAUUCGAUUAGAGAACACUGAAAGACCAAAAGGGAUAUGUUUCUUGACAGACCAACUAUUACUAAUUUUGGUAGGAAAAAAAAAACUCACUGAUACAACAUUUCUUCCUUCUUCAAAGUCUGAUCAGUAUGCCAUUAGCUUGAUUGUUAGAGAAAUAAUGUUGGAAGAAGAACCUUCAAUAACAUCAGGUGAAAGCCAGACUACCUACUCUACUUUCAGUGCUCCGUUAAAUAAAGCAAAUAGAAAAAAGUUAAUUGAAAGUCUUUCCCCAGAUUUUUGUCACCAAAACAAAGGGCUAUUGCUGACAGUUAAUACCAGUAGUCAGAAUGGAAGGCCUGCAAGAACACUUAUUAAAGAAAUCCGGAGUCCUCUGUCUAGUAUCUGUGAUGGCUCCAUAGCCCUAGAUGCUGAGCCUGUUACCCAGCCAGCAUCGCUGCCCAGACACAGCAGCACACCAGACCACACCAGCACACUGGAGCCUCCUCGUUUGCCUCAAAGAAAGAACUUACAAAGUGAAAAGGAAACUUAUCAGCUGUCUAAGGAAGUGGAAAUUUUAUCUAGGAACCUGGUUGAAAUGCAACGGUGUCUUUCUGAACUUACAAACCGUCUGCAUAAUGGGAAGAAAUCCUCUUCAGUGUAUCCACUCUCUCAAGAUCUUCCUUAUGUUCACAUCAUUUACCAGGUAAAUUCUCCUUUGAGGAACUACCACUAUACAUAAAAGCUCCUGCAGCCGAAACCUUAUUAUCUAGAUCCUGUUGUUGAAAAAAGAGCGGUGCUUCUCUGUGAUGGUAAACUAAGGCUCAGUACAGUUCAGCAGACUUUUGGCCUUUCUCUCAUUGAAAUGCUACAUGAUUCCCACUGGAUUCUUCUCUCUGCUGACAGUGAGGGCUUUAUCCCGUUAACCUUCACAGCCACACAGGAAAUAAUCAUAAGAGAUGGCAGCCUGUCCAGGUCAGAUGUCUUCAGAGACUCUUUUUCUCACAGUCCAGGUGCUGUUUCUUCUCUUAAAGUCUUUACAGGCCUUGCUGCCCCCAGUUUAGAUACCACUGGCUGUUGUAACCAUGUAGAUGGCAUGGCUUGAUAUCUGCAGUGUCCUUGCUGUGUAGCUCUUCAGAUGAGACGAUUACAAACAAGGCCUGCUUGACACUGUGGACACUCGCCAAUGAGACUCCCACUGCACUCAGGCGAAGCGCUUGCCAUGGUCGGCUCUCCUGGUUUCCCCCUGUUUCCCCUGAGCUGAGGCUCGCUGCUGUGUAGCAGAGCUCAGUCUUUAUUAGAUGGCUCCGAAAGUGGUGUUUAUGUAUUCAUGACUGUGUGGUUUUGACUAAGGGCAGAAUUCCCAGAACAAAACAAUAUUAUGGUGCCAUAUGGAUGGUGUUUUAUGGUUUCUCUGAGGCUUUGUGUCCCUUGUCCAAAGCUGCAUUGAAGCUGUCUUAGGAGCACUUAAAAGAUACCUUGGCAUUGUUAUAGGUCUUUUUCUUGGUUUCAAGAGGAGGUUGAGGAGUCUGCUGGGGGGCAUGUGCUCUAGCAUAUUAACCUCAAGCCAGCAAGAAUUAGCAGAGCUCCAAGGAGGACCAGAGACCCACUGGCUUUUGCUCUCAGGAACAGGAAGUGGCUCUGAUGUUGCCUGGACCUUCCAGAAUUUAAACCUAACCGUCUUGCUUCCUUAGCAAAUUCUGGCUGACGAAGGUCCAGGUACUCUUAAAAACUGGCCCUGGGAAAAUUUUGAAUGAAAUUUCAAGGGAAUUUGUCCCCUCUGGGCUCCACUUGAGGUUGUGCCGAUGCUGCUACCACACUGUCGAGCCCAGGUAAGUCCUACUGCAGGAUUUUGUGCUGUGGCCACUCAUGAGUGUCCCUGAAAUAACUUUUUUUUUUUUUAAAUCCAGUUUUGGGAUCACGCAACUUUCCUAUUUUUCUCCCAGUAGUCAGCUCCCUUAGUUAACUUGUCACUUUAAUUUGAUAUUUUUAUUUUCUCUCCUUUCAAGUCUUAGAGACCAGCAGAGAAUCUGUGAGAGAAAGUAUUUCAGGAAGUUCGAAAUUCAACCGAAUCCGAGGUAGUCCUAAAAAGUGCCAUUUUGUUUCACUUAUGGGCUAAAGUACCAGCUUAGUCAGGUAAGAGCCCUGACCCGCUUCAGAUAGUAACACCACUUCUCACUGCCUUCAGAUGGAAUCACAGAUUUCAGUCACGGCGCAUAACAAAUUGAUCAGUGAGUGGCUAGGCAUCUGCAGAUAAAUUGUUUCAGCCAUAGAAGCUCCAUUAGCACAUAUGCUUCCUUUUCCCCCCUUCCUUUAAAAUCAUCUGGAAAGAAACUAUUUUGUGCCCUUGGGGACUCCUGUCUGUCUGUUACAGUUUACCAAGAUGGAGCUGGGUUAGGAAAGAAGUGAGGGCCCAUUUUGUGGUUCAAGUGCACUAGACAGCUGCUGGGGUAGGAAGCACAGGCAAUGUCUGUAAUCAGCUGUGGGAGAGCGGUGACUGAGAACAUUCUGAGGCCUGGCUCCACUUGGAAGUAUCUGGGGUGCGAUGAAAUCACAAUUAUCUUGAAGCCUAAAGAGGGAACUACAAGACUGUUAACUAAGAUCAAUGUGGGCACCUAAAAGGGUAUGUUAAAAUCACCAUUUCUCAGGUCAAAAUACUGUGAAUAAGUCUUCAAUAAAAUCACUAAUAGUUA